Hordeum vulgare subsp. vulgare (domesticated barley) is the source of this 126-nucleotide non-coding RNA. The record is from Rfam. Lineage: Eukaryota; Viridiplantae; Streptophyta; Magnoliopsida; Poales; Poaceae.
CAUAUACUCCUUCCGUUCAGAAAUGCUUGUCAUGGGUAUGGAUGCAUCUGGAUGUAUUCUAGUUUUAGAUACAUUCAUUUUUAUCUAUUUGUGUGACAAGUAAUUCCGGAAGGGAGGGAGUACGUG